RNAcentral lists this long non-coding RNA (253 nucleotides) under Coffea arabica (coffee). Its description in RNAcentral is "long non-coding RNA (CARA_LNC007168)". Lineage: Eukaryota; Viridiplantae; Streptophyta; Magnoliopsida; Gentianales; Rubiaceae. The record is from RNAcentral.
AUAACCAAAACAAAACAGAAAAUCGUAGUAGUGUUGUUUGGCUUCUUGAAAGUGACAAGAGUUUGGAAGGAUGGUACAUCAUUAAACUCAUCAUAGUUUGCACGGCUAACUUGUAGCAUUUUAAGUAAAAGUUUUACUCACCUACAUAGUGAUCUAUCAAUGGAAACAACUCUUAAUGAUUUGGAAAACAUCUUUAUGAUAUUUAUUGGAAAGGAUUUAGGGGUUUUUUUGUAUUGUGCAUUGUGCAUUGUCC